Molecule: long non-coding RNA, 273 nt
Filed under: Gossypium barbadense (sea-island cotton)
Lineage: Eukaryota; Viridiplantae; Streptophyta; Magnoliopsida; Malvales; Malvaceae
Description: long non-coding RNA (GBAR_LNC016363)
Source: RNAcentral
UAAAUUCAUUAGUUUUUUAUUUUAUGAAUGAAAUCGAAAGUUUCUAUGAAUAUGUGCUGGAAUUUUAUGAUGAAAUAGCAUGAAAUUGAAGUUUUAAUUUGUUUAUGAGAUGAUUGUAUUAGGUAAUUUCAAUAGAAAUUGAUUUGUAGGACUUAAUUGUGAAAAAGUUUGGAAUUAAAGUCUAGUGCUAAAAUUCUGAUUUCCAAAGGUUAUAAAGUAGUUUAAAGUCAUAGAAUAAAUUAUUUAUUGAGAAAAAUCAGCUCAAUUGAGAGG